Molecule: small RNA, 143 nt
Filed under: Flavobacterium branchiophilum
Lineage: Bacteria; Pseudomonadati; Bacteroidota; Flavobacteriia; Flavobacteriales; Flavobacteriaceae
Description: Flavo-1 RNA
Rfam family: Flavo-1 RNA
Source: Rfam by way of RNAcentral
UAUUAGCCCAGAUAGUAGUGAAAAGUUUUUGAAAUGGACGACUAUUUUUUGAUUCUAAAAAAAAGCGACCGGCGGAAGCUCUUUUUUUUGAAAUCAAAAAAAGGAGUACAUGAAAAAACUUGAAACGAAUAGCUGGAUUGGCU